This 253-nucleotide ribosomal RNA is filed under the name uncultured bacterium. RNAcentral describes it as "partial 16S ribosomal RNA". It matches the Rfam family "Bacterial small subunit ribosomal RNA", at positions 524 to 776 of the family's 1533-position model. The record is from RNAcentral.
UACGUAGGUGGCAAGCGUUGUCCGGAUUUACUGGGCGUAAAGAGCGCGCAGGCGGUCGUUCAAGUCGCGUGUGAAAGCCCCCGGCUCAACUGGGGAGGGUCACGCGAUACUGAUCGACUCGAAGGCAGGAGAGGGUAGUGGAAUUCCCGGUGUAGUGGUGAAAUGCGUAGAUAUCGGGAGGAACACCAGAGGCGAAGGCGGCGAUCUGGGAAGAUACUGACGCUGAGGUGCGAAAGCGUGGGGAGCAAACAGG